AUUAGCAGCAGGCGCGAAAACUUUACAAUGCGGGAAACCGUGAUAAGGGAACACCGAGUGCCAGCAUCAUAUGCUGGCUGUCCAGAUGUGUAAACUACAUCUGUUAGCAAGGGCCGGGCAAGACCGGUGCCAGCCGCCGCGGUAAUACAAUCAAUUCUCCAGAAAGAAUCCUGACUCCACGGGUCUGACGCUUCAUGUACACAAAACUUCGCGUAUAUAGGAAAUUUUGUUGCUGCGUGAGAUUC
This 245-nucleotide ribosomal RNA is filed under the name uncultured archaeon. RNAcentral's name for it is "partial 16S ribosomal RNA". The stretch from base 1 to 157 matches the Rfam family "Archaeal small subunit ribosomal RNA", at positions 328 to 485 of the family's 1478-position model. The record is from RNAcentral.